Molecule: small nuclear RNA, 107 nt
Organism: Leptonychotes weddellii (Weddell seal)
Lineage: Eukaryota; Metazoa; Chordata; Mammalia; Carnivora; Phocidae
Source: RefSeq, a predicted model, not a curated record
GGGCUCACUUUGGGAGCACAUUUACUAAAAUUAGAAUGGUACAGAGAAAAUCAACAUGGCCCAUGUGCAAGAAUGACAUGCAAAUUCAGGAAGCAUUCCAUAAUCUU